UUUUCCAGACUCCAUUUUAGGCUCGCUCUGGGCUGCGAAGGGUGUUGGAUGAGCAGCUGUUUGCGGGGCAGCGGCGGGCUACGUCAAAGCCGUGCCUGGGCUCUGGCCUUGUUGCGCGUGCACGCUGUGUGACGCUACCCUCCCGUCCCUUGGGGCCUGGGCCGUGCUGAGCUUGAGAAGGAAAUAGCAGCUCCCAGCGGACAGAAAUGGGCGCUGGGAUCCGCGCGGCCACUCACGUUUCUGGAAGGCGCUCCUGCUCUGAAUCUUGCCGUUCCUAAGCCUGAUUCACCGUCGGGCGCCUAGACAACCGCCGGCCCCGAUGGAGACCCCAGUAUCGGGGGCGCCUAUUACCCUCAUCAUCAAAGCGCCCAACCAGAAGUACACGGACCAGACCAUCAGCUGCUUCAUGGACUGGACUGUCGGGAGACUGAAAUGUCACCUCUCCAAGGUGUACCCCAGUAAGCCGUCUACCAAGGAUCAGAGAUUGGUUUAUUCUGGCAGGUUGCUUCCUGAUCACCUGCAACUGAAAGAUAUUCUCAGAAAACAAGAUGAGUAUCAUAUGGUUCAUUUAGUAUGUUCUUCACGGACACCCCCAAAUUCCCCCAAACCUGAUACUAUUAGAGAAAGUCGUGAGUCUUCAGCAUCUAGCAACAGCUUGAGUUCAGAACAUUUGGGAUCAGCAUCUCCUUCCCUCUCUCAAGAAACUGUAUAUACAGCUGUCAGUAAUUCUGAAGGUGUGCGACAUCGCAACCUUGCACAGACACAAAAUAAUCAAAUGCAAAGCCAUCCAUUCUCAUAUAUAUUACAGGGUGUAGAUAAUCAGGUUCCUGGGCAAGGAAUAUCAACUGGAUUUCCAGUAUAUCCUACUUUCAGCCCUCUACAGAUGUUAUGGUGGCAACAGAUGUAUGCACGUCAAUAUUAUAUGCAAUAUCAAGCUGCAGUUUCAGCACAGGCAACCCUGAAUCCUGAGUCUACCAGUUCUCCAGUUCCGGAGUCCUCAAGUUCUGAUCAUGUUCUUGCAAAUGAAGCCCCAGCAGCUCCAAACAUAGCUCCACAGGAGAACAGACCUAUAAAUCAAAAUGUGCAGAUGAAUGCUCAAGGAGGCCCAGUCAUAAAUGAAGAGGACUUCAAUAGAGAUUGGCUGGACUGGAUAUACACAUUCUCCAGAGCAGCUAUUCUUCUUAGUAUUGUAUAUUUCUAUUCAUCCUUCAGUCGCUUUGUUAUGGUGAUGGGAGCUAUGUUAUUAGUUUACCUGCACCAAGCUGGGUGGUUCCCUUUCAGACAAGAAGGAAUCCAACAGCCUAUAGCAAACAAUGCAGAUAUAAACCAUGAUGGUCAAAAUGUAAAUAAUGCUGGUCUUGAAGAAAUGGAACGUCUCAUGGAUGAAGGUAUUGAAGAAGAUAGUGGCGAAGACAUUGAUGAUGUCAAUGCAGAACAGCAUCCUGGAUUUAUGGCUUCCGCAUGGUCUUUCAUUACCACUUUCUUUACAUCCCUCAUUCCUGAAGGACCUCCACAAGUUGGCAAUUAAGCAAAGGAGGAACUACUAAUAGAGCAUGGAAGUUGAUUCUGGGAGAGUGGUAUUUUAAAUAUAAUGCAAUUGCUAUACAUAUACAUAUAUACACACACACACACGCACAGACACAUACAUUCUCUUUC
Non-coding RNA from Pseudonaja textilis, 1656 nucleotides. NCBI's taxonomy places the organism in Eukaryota, Metazoa, Chordata, Lepidosauria, Squamata, Elapidae. The record is from RefSeq and is a predicted model, not a curated record.